Molecule: transfer RNA, 86 nt
Filed under: Synergistaceae bacterium
Lineage: Bacteria; Thermotogati; Synergistota; Synergistia; Synergistales; Synergistaceae
Description: tRNA-Leu
Rfam family: tRNA
About the family: Transfer RNA (tRNA) molecules are approximately 80 nucleotides in length. Their secondary structure includes four short double-helical elements and three loops (D, anti-codon, and T loops).
Source: RNAcentral
GCCGGGAUGGCGGAAUGGUAGACGCAGUGGACUCAAAAUCCACCGGGAGCAAUCUCAUGGGAGUUCGAGUCUCCCUCCCGGCACCA